UACAGAGGGUGCGAGCGUUGUUCGGAUUUAUUGGGCGUAAAGAGCGUGUAGGCGGCCAGGUAGGUCUGCUGUGAAAACUCGAGGCUUAACCUCGAGCUGUCGGCGGAAACCAUCUGGCUAGAGUCCGGAAGAGGAGAAUGGAAUUCCCGGUGUAGCGGUGAAAUGCGCAGAUAUCGGGAAGAACACCCGUGGCGAAGGCGGUUCUCUGGGACGGUACUGACGCUGAGACGCGAAAGCGUGGGGAGCGAACAGG
This 253-nucleotide ribosomal RNA is filed under the name uncultured bacterium. RNAcentral describes it as "partial 16S ribosomal RNA". It matches the Rfam family "Bacterial small subunit ribosomal RNA", at positions 524 to 776 of the family's 1533-position model. The record is from RNAcentral.